Molecule: ribosomal RNA, 253 nt
Filed under: uncultured bacterium
Lineage: Bacteria
Description: partial 16S ribosomal RNA
Rfam family: Bacterial small subunit ribosomal RNA
Source: RNAcentral
UACGUAGGGUCCGAGCGUUGUCCGGAAUUAUUGGGCGUAAAGGGCUCGUAGGCGGUUCGUCACGUCGGGAGUGAAAACUCGGGGCUUAACCCCGAGCCUGCUUCCGAUACGGGCAGACUAGAGUCAGGUAGGGGAGAACGGAAUUCCUGGUGUAGCGGUGAAAUGCGCAGAUAUCAGGAGGAACACCGGUGGCGAAGGCGGUUCUCUGGGCCUGUACUGACGCUGAGGAACGAAAGCGUGGGGAGCGAACAGG